This 238-nucleotide unclassified non-coding RNA is filed under the name Hevea brasiliensis (rubber tree). Lineage: Eukaryota; Viridiplantae; Streptophyta; Magnoliopsida; Malpighiales; Euphorbiaceae. The record is from RNAcentral.
GGGGAGUUUGUUAGAGAAAUCCCACUUUCAACUAGAAUUCCUGAGGAUGCUAACAUAAAAGCAUAUUAUGAUGGGCCAGGAUCUGUGCUGGAGAUUCUAGUGCCUAAACUUCGCGAGGGACCAGAAGAGCAUGAGGUUCUUGUUUGCCUUCGUCCUCACCUCGGAGGCAAUAAUCUCAUGUUAACUUGAGGUAGGCAUUGGGCGGUUGCAGUAUUUGGUACUCUAUUGUUUAACUAGG